GUGCUUGCUUCAGCAGCACAUAUGCUAAAACUGGAAAGAUACAGAGAUGAGGAUGACCCUUGCACAAGGAUGGCACGCAUAUUCAUGAAGCAUUACAUGUUUUU
Jaculus jaculus (lesser Egyptian jerboa) is the source of this 104-nucleotide small nuclear RNA. The record is from RefSeq and is a predicted model, not a curated record. Lineage: Eukaryota; Metazoa; Chordata; Mammalia; Rodentia; Dipodidae.